UACGGAGGGUGCAAGCGUUAUCCGGAUUCACUGGGUUUAAAGGGUGCGUAGGCGGGCAGGUAAGUCAGUGGUGAAAUCCUAGAGCUCAACUCUAGAACUGCCAUUGAUACUAUCUGUCUUGAAUAUUGUGGAGGUAAGCGGAAUGUGUCAUGUAGCGGUGAAAUGCUUAGAGAUGUCAUAGAACACCGAUUGCGAAGGCAGCUCACAAAACUGUAACUGACACUGAGGCUCGAAAGUGCGGGGAUCAAACAGGAUUAGAAACCCGGGUAGU
Molecule: ribosomal RNA, 271 nt
Filed under: uncultured bacterium
Lineage: Bacteria
Description: partial 16S ribosomal RNA
Rfam family: Bacterial small subunit ribosomal RNA
Source: RNAcentral